ACUCCUACGGGAGGCAGCAGUGGGGAAUCUUGGACAAUGGGCGCAAGCCUGAUCCAGCCAUGCCGCGUGAGUGAUGAUGGCCCUAGGGUCGUAAAGCUCUUUCGCCAGGGAUGAUAAUGACAGUACCUGGUAAAGAAACCCCGGCUAACUCCGUGCCAGCAGCCGCGGUAAUACGGAGGGGUUAGCGUUGUUCGGAAUUACUGGGCGUAAAGCGCGCGUAGGCGGACUAUUAAGUCAGGGGUGAAAUCCCGGGGCUCAACCCCGGAACUGCCCUUGAUACUGGUAGUCUUGAGUUCGAGAGAGGUGAGUGGAAUUCCGAGUGUAGAGGUGAAAUUCGUAGAUAUUCGGAGGAACACCAGUGGCGAAGGCGGCUCACUGGCUCGAUACUGACGCUGAGGUGCGAAAGUGUGGGGAGCAAACAGGAUUAGAUACCCUGGUAGGCUCUGC
This 447-nucleotide ribosomal RNA is filed under the name uncultured bacterium. RNAcentral describes it as "bacterial SSU rRNA". It matches the Rfam family "Bacterial small subunit ribosomal RNA", at positions 335 to 800 of the family's 1533-position model. The record is from RNAcentral.